This 483-nucleotide ribosomal RNA is filed under the name uncultured bacterium. Its description in RNAcentral is "partial 16S ribosomal RNA". It matches the Rfam family "Bacterial small subunit ribosomal RNA", at positions 30 to 507 of the family's 1533-position model. The record is from RNAcentral.
AUUGAACGCUGGCGGCAGGCCUAACACAUGCAAGUCGAGCGGAUGAAGGGAGCUUGCUCCUGGAUUCAGCGGCGGACGGGUGAGUAAUGCCUAGGAAUCUGCCUGGUAGUGGGGGAUAACGUCCGGAAACGGGCGCUAAUACCGCAUACGUCCUGAGGGAGAAAGUGGGGAUUUUCGGACCCCCCGCUUUCCGCUUGACCCAGGUCGGAUUAGCUAGUUUGUGGGGUAAAGGACUACCAAGGCGACGAUCCGUAACUGGUCUGAGAGGAUGAUCAGUCACACUGGAACUGAGACACGGUCCAGACUCCUACGGGAGGCAGCAGUGGGGAAUAUUGGACAAUGGGCGAAAGCCUGAUCCAGCCAUGCCGCGUGUGUGAAGAAGGUCUUCGGAUUGUAAAGCACUUUAAGUUGGGAGGAAGGGCAGUAAGUUAAUACCUUGCUGUUUUGACGGUACCAACAGAAUAAGCACCGGCUAACUUCGUG